UGCCCCUCGUCCCGGAGGGUUCCCGGCGCGCACCCGGGUCUCCAGAGCGUCUCCUGCUCCCCCAAGGAGCCGCACGUUGACGUACCAGGUGAGGAUUGUCUGCGGGAUCUUCUUCUCUUGGGGGGGCUCUGGUCUCACAACCCGACAGUGGGGGGAAAGGGAGAGAUCCUGGACCCUGCCCGGGUAUCCAAACUCAGGGAGGAGCCUCCCCCGUGCUUUCCGGCCUGGGCGAUGUCCGAGUGUCCGCUCGGCUCAGGGCCAGAGCUCUGGCGUGCAGCCCCCGCCCCUGGCUCCCGUGGGUCCGGCUCCUCAGCCCCAGCUCGGGUUCCGGCGCCGACCCCUCCCAGCCCUCUGCCCGAGUGCAGCCCAGCGCAGUCCGGAUCCGUUUCAGGACACUCGCGGCCACGGCUAAAGAUAGGAGGACACCUCACCAUACGACCCUGAGCCCGGGCGGGGAUGGCGGCGGGAGGGCACUCCCGGGUCCUGGGGUGGGGGGCGGGGGCUCUGGCGCAGUGUGGAGGGCUGGACCGGGAGUUCAGGUUCGGGAUGCGCGGCGCACCGCAGGCCGAGGGGGAAGCGGGCGUGGCCGCCGGGACCAAGGCGCGGGCGGGAAACAUGGUGCAGCCCGAGGCACCCGGGAAAGGAUCUACGUGGAGGUGAGUCGGGGGCCGGGGCGCGAGCUGGGAUGGGGCGCCUCGAGGAUGGGCCUCCCUAGGAGCCGCGGUCGGGCCGCAGAGUCCCGGCCUGAACUCACCUUGAGCGCGUUCAAGCGACUGACCGGCGGGCGGCGAAAGCUCAGGAGCUGGACCGCGCGGCGAUGGGACAGACCUGGGCUGUGAACUUACAGUGCUGACAGUGGCCCCUAAAGCCCCGCCCCCUGCCGCGGAGCCAAUGCCGGGACCGCCCCAACUAGGCCCCGCCCACAGCCUCGCCCUACUCCCUGGCCCGCCUGGGUUCCCCCUUUGGAGGCGCAGCGCGGGGGUCCAGCAGCCGCGCGGGCCCGGGGGUCCAUUCCAAGCUCGGGCGGCUGCGGCCCAGGCGGCGUCGGGUGCACGGGCUGGACUCCGCGGACUCCGGCUGUGCCCGUCGGAACCAAAACUCUCGGUUCUAGGAGGGCCGGGUCCGGGGAGGCGCCCGCACAAGUGUAUUCAGUGACUACUAAGGAAAUGAAUGAGGCCUUAGAGGCGUCUAUGUUAAAAUAUUACAGACUUCCGAGAGCUUUCAGGAGUUUGCCGCCCCUUAGAAUACAGGGCAUUGAGGGUGUGUGCGGGAGGAGUGGCCGGGCCAUGCCCGUAUUUGCUGUCAGGCUAAGUGGCGUCCGGGGCUGGGGUGGGAUCCGUACUUAGACUCAUUCCAACAUUAGUUGAUUGGCUGGUUGGUUGGUUCAUUAAUUCUUUCAUUCGUUCAGUACGAGCAACAUUUACUGAAGGGCAGGCCCUACACAGGAGCUGGAGAUAGACUAAAGGGAACUCUGCCCUUGCUCCUUUCAGUGAUUCAGCAGAUAAUUGUGCAUCUAUAGGUGCCAGGCGCUGUUCUUGUCGCUGGGGAUGCAGCCCCCUCCGGACUGGGACCUACUGUCCAAUGAAGGGACGUGGAGGAAACCCAAGUCCCCAAGUAGACUGUGAUACCCGUCUGAGGGAGCAAGUGCUAAGAAGAGUGGGGCAAAGGAAGGGUGGAUGGUAAUGAGGUGAGGGGACCUUGCUUUCUGGAGGAUGACAGCUGUGACCGUACAAUGUGACCAGGAUGAUGAAAGCUUCCAUACUGUAAAUGUGGGAGGGACUCUUAGGGAGAGGGGGUCAGGAAGGCAUCCUGAGGGAGGGAAGGAUGGGGAGAAGGGGAGUGGAGUAGGCAAAUGGCCCCUCCCUAAAGAUGUCCAUGUCCUAGUCUCUGGAACCUGUGAAUAUAUUUCGUUACACAGCAAAGAAUAAUUAAGGUUGCCAAUGGAAUUACAGUUACUAAUCAACUGACUUUAAAAGAGGGAGAUUACCCUGAAUUAUCUGGGUGGGCCCAAUGUAAUCAUGAUGGUCCUUAAAAGUGGAAGAGGGAGACAGGAGAGUCAGAGAAAGAGAUGUGAUGACACAGAAAUGCUGUGUUGCUGCUUUGGAAGAUGGAGGAAGGGGCCACAGACAAAGGCAUGUGGGUGGCCUCUAGAAGCUGGAAAAGUCAAGGAAACAGAUUCUCCCCCAGAACCUCCAGAAGGAACACGGCCCAGCUGACGGCUUGAUUUUAGACCCAUGUUGGACUUCAAACCAACGGAACCGGAGCAUCAGUCAGGUGGAUUCUGCCAGGACUGGCCUGGUGGCUCAGAGGAAAACUGAGGCCUGGACAGUGGAGGAAUGGGGCCCUGGGCCAAAUUGUCGUGUGUGUGGAUAAGUAUUGUACCUCUCUCCCUUCCUGCCACCGCGGCUCUGCCAAGAAUCCACCCACCCAGGCUUGCCUGUGCCCCUUACCAAGUGCCUCUUGCCCCUGAGCUCCUCAAAUCCUCUGAGAGCCCAGCAAGGUGGGCAGAGCCAGCAUCACUAUCCCCCUUUACAGAAAUGUAAACCGAAGCUCGGGCCCUGACAGUGAUCUACUUAGACUGCAAGUGGCAAGACAUGCUAGCUCUGGGCCCUCGUCCCCACUCAGUCUUCUCACCCAGCCAUUGUCACCCCCCACCCCGCCUUCCUUCCCACACACAGCCAGGUAGGGGGACAGCUAGGUGCCAGGCCCUGAGCACUGCUUCUGAGCCACAGACCCAGGUUCUGAGCUGGCUGUGCUGCUGACUUGCUCUGUGGCCACGGACGAAGAAAGUACAGUCCCGUUCUGAGCCUUCUUGCCUGUAAAAUGGGAGUUACAUGAGUCCCAAGCAAGAGAAGGGACUUGCGAGUGUAUUGUUGAUGGGACCACACAGUCCCCGCAGGCAGGAGUUUCAUGGAAACAUUAUAACAGGAGCUUUGGGGGGUGGUGACUGGCCUUGUCACCUGACCUGGAAUGAGUCUAAUGAUGCCUAGAUGACUCUAAUAAUGACCCCCUGAGCCUGCGGCGCAGCCCCGCCCAUCAGCUGAGCGUCCUCCAUUGGAGGAAGGGGCUCGGGGAAGGUCAGGAGCUCCAUUCAGGGCUGGUGGCAAAACAAAGUUACAGAGAUGAAAGCUUGCAGAGGCAAAGACCCUCAUCCAAGGUCACUCAAAGCCAGGAACGAACUCCAGAGCCCUUUGGAGAGGUUCUGGUGUGUGUGUGUGUGUGUGUGUGCAGUUGGGGAGCCUUGGGGGAUGGAUAGAGAGCAGCAGAUUUGGCCCCCGAGCCUGACCCAACCCCCGGACCCCUCCCUCAGCAACUAGCCAUCCUCCCAACCAGGACCCAAAGCCACAGGAACCGCGCUCUGGGGACUGUUUUAAUCCCACCUGGCUGUGACGUGGCUCCGCCCAGUGCCGACUCCCUGUGCUGCUCUCCUGCCAUCAGCCAGAGAUACGGCCCCCACAAAGCCCACAUCCAAGGCCCGCUUUGUGCCGGGCACUGGGUUCUGUGCUUUGCAAGCACUCAGGUAGGUGGUUCAUUCUCCCCAUUCACAGAUGCGGUCAUGUCACUUGGCUGGGGCCUGAGGAAUCCCUGGGGAUGGGGCUGCUGGCAGCUCUCAGCUCUGCUGAAUGGACGAGAUCUUUGCAGAUACGCCCAGUGUUGCCAUGGCAGCCCUGCAAUUAAUGAGCAUUUAUAAAACAGGAUUUCAUUGACUAAAACUGGCUUUUUUAUUCAACUUCUCAGGCAGUGUGUAAAGGCCCAAGUAUGGGUGGUGAGGCCGGGAUCCUGAGCCACGGGAGGGCCAGGGUGUCCUGUAUUUCUGACCCCGUAGACACUCAGGCCAAGUGCCCCCUGCCCAGCCUGACUGAGGGUCUGCUGCCUCAGCUAGGGCCUGGACUAUUCUUGCUGGAAGGACUCCUGGACACCCCAGUGUCUGAGGGGGUAGGACCCUGAGGGACAUUCAGGACAGGUUAGAGGCAAGGAAGCCUGUGUGGAGCAAUGCGCCAAGGGGCUUCCCUGGAGGUCCAGUGGUUAAGACUCUGUGCCUGCAACGCAGGGAGCAUGGGUUCGAUCCCUGAUCCGGGAACUAAGAUCCCACAUGCUGUGCGGCACGGCCAAAAAAUCCCCCCAAAAAAUGUGGUAUUCAAAUUCCUUCUUCUCAGCCUGGAGCCUCGCCUUGAUCCUGAGAUAAGCCCAGUCCCCACCCCUCUGCCCCCCAGUCCCACAGCAACUUCCCGCACCCACAGGACCUGUAAUCACCAUACAGGGACUGACUCAGCCCUUCCUUCCCCGCCCAGUCUCUUCUUCCUGAAAAUCACCCACGUCAGCAGCCCCAGCCCCCAAAGGCCCUGGGGGAUAGAGCCUGAGGCCCCCUUAUCCGAGGUUAGCCUGGAAGAAUGGAGGAACUGAGCCGGAGGGGUAGGACUCCCAGGCCGGAGCCAGCUCUCCUCGGCCCCGCCCACCCGGGGACCUAGGGAGGCAGGUGGGAUGAGGGGACCAGGAGUCUGGGGACAGGUCUGAGAGCAGGGAGUCAAAAGGGAAGGGUGGUGAUACUCUUGGGGGCGUCUAGGGGGCAGUGUGAGGAGACAAGGUCUCUGGAAGGGCCUCAGCCCCCGCCACCCCGAUCCCCUGCCACAGGGAGACAGGGAGCAGGGCCAGAGCUCCGUCCACCCCUAGGAAGCCUCCUCCGCACAGCCUGAGCUCAGCCUGCAGGGCUCCGUGGCCUGAGCCAACCCCAGGCCUGGUUUGGAUUUUUCCUUGAUUGUUUCUUGUUUCCUUCCUCCCCUGGGCUCCUGCCAACUCCAGCCCUGCCCUCCUCGCUUUUCACUUGCCUUCAUAGAACUCUGACCUGGCAGAGGCUGGGAUUCGAGAUGAGAGUCCCUUCGAAGCUACCGCCAGCUUCUGCCUCUGCCUUGGACCCCCUCCUUGGGAGUUGGGUGGCAGGGCCUUACUGGGGGACUUUCCUUUGGGUCCGGAUUUUUGGCCCCAGGCCCAGGGCCAUGGGGGUUUCCGGAGUGGUGACAGCCCUGUCCUAGCAGGGACUGAGGCACUUCCUCCCGGAGGCCUCUGGGAACAUCCAAGCCACAUGGCUGUCUUUUGGCCUGGGGAACACAGAGUUAGCAGGCGUUGUUUUCAACACUUCCCACCCCUUCAAGGCACCUUGUCAUUAUUCAUUUUGAAAACUCAUUUGCAUCUACCUUGUGCCUAGAGCUGUGCUGACUGGAGAAGACACAGAGGGUCAAGGCUGGGCCCAGCCCUCAGAGAACAGAUACCUUGAGUAAAACAAAUAACCGAUUCUAAAACAGCACAUUCUGUGCCAUAAUGGAGGUCCUUGAAAGCAGAGGCCAGUUCUGAUUUACCUCUUUCUAUCCCAGGCAGCGUAGACGAGGCUCAGUGAGUGACUAUGGAUUGAAUGAAGAACCAAAAAGAACAGCGGUAAGAAGGACUUGUUCUGCUAGAGGUGGAGAAACAGAUGGAAGAGUUAGGAAGGCUUCAAGAGGAGGUGAUAUUUGAGCAGGGUAUUAAUGGAUGAGUAGGAAUUUGCCAGGCAGAGAAAGGAAAGGAUAUUUCAGGGGGAGCAGGGAGAGGCAAAGGCAAAGGCCAGAAGGAGUGCAAGUAGAUGCAUGGUGUGAGCGGGAAACAGGAUAGAUGUGUCCAGCAGACCACGGCACAGGAGAGGGGGAAAGACCAGGAGGGUAGCUGGCGAGCACCAUUAUCCUUGCCCAGCUCCCAUUCCUCUUAUUCUGCUGACCACCCCUCAAUUUUCCAGAGUCUCCAGUAUGAUUGACCUUGCCUCCAAGCUCUAAAAGUGGGUCUGAGGCCCCAGCCUACCCAAUCUGAGUCAUAGGGAUGGUUUAGGGAUGGGCAUGUCAGCAGUGGGCUUCAGCCUGGGAACUUGUGGUGACUAUUAGGGUGACAGAUGCCAAGAUGUCAACUCAGGGCUGUCAACUCACGGAAGAGCUUGUCUAAGAAUAAAGCCAGCAGAGAGGAAAGCAGAGCCCAGAGAAUGACUCUCAAUAACAUUGUUCGUGCUUCUGGAUCCAGCCAUGCCUGAAUCAGACAUCCAUUACAUGAAGCAACAACUUACAAUUUUUGUUUAGUCCUGUUGGAAUUGGGUUUCUGUCACUUGCCCAUUAAAGAAUAAUUAAAAGCAAACAAUAGCUCACGAGAGCAGCCGAAUGCUGUGGGAGGGAAGCAAGGAUCUGUGCAGAAGUGCGACAUGACCAGAAUUGCAGUUUUUUAAUUUAAACUAUCUUGUUGACAUGGUAAUGCUUUCGUGUGGUUCACAAUUUAGAAAUCACAGCAGGCUGAAGAGCCCACGCGCCACAUCGAAAGAUCCCGCAUGUUGUGACGAAGAUCCCGCGUGCUGCAACUAAAGACCCGAAGCUGCCAGAUAAAUAAAUAAAUAAAAAUAUAAAAGAAGAAAUCACAAGAGGCAAAACGUCUCCCUCUUACCCCUGUUCCCCAGGCACCAGUUCUCCUCUCCACAAACAACCAGCGUUAUCAGUUUCUUGUAAACACUUCUAGAGAUACUCUUUGCACAUGCAAGCAAAGCCCCGUCUGUUUAUUUUUUACACAAAUGGCAAUAUUUAGAGAAGUAGAGCCCCAAAGUACAGCAGACCUUGGUGGGAGCAGGGGGAGGACAGGCCCCACUGCCGGGGGCGAUGGGGGAGAUUCUGCAGGAGCCAUGGGAAGCCACAAUUUAUUGAGCCUCUGCUAUUCACAUUGUCCGGCACCUUCCUUUCUUCAGUUGACAUUAUAUCUAUGACCACUUCAUGUCAGUUCAUAGAGUAUAUCGUCAGUUUCAUUUUCUCCCAGCUGCACAGUAUUUCACAUGGGGUGUACCAUAAUUUAUGCAAAUUAUGGCCUCUCCAGCCUCAAGCCCCCUCUCCACUCCCUCUGUUCUGGACAAGGGCCUUUCAGCCCAUCAGCCACCCCCAUGGCCUCAGUUGACGGACGUUUAGGUUGUCCCCAGCCCUUUCCUGUGACAAGCAGUGCUGCCAUCUUGCACAGAUGCUGUUACACACUCGUGUGAGCACACGAGUGAGCUGAAGAAUAAGUUCAUAGGGACUUGGGGGUCACAGGACACUCUCUGUUGUCAUUUGGUCAGCUCUGUCCACUUGUCUUUCUCAGGUGAUGUGCCAGGUCCAGGCCCCCAUAGGGACCACAGGGCCCAUUUCUCCUCAGCCUCACUGGCAACUGGUUCUCAGCCUUUAUAUUUGUGUCACUCUGGUAGGUAAACACUAACUAAAGACAAAGGAGCCUCAGUGUGGUUUUAAUCUGUGUUUCUCUUGUAAGUGAGUUUGGCCAUUUUUCAUAGGCUUCAGGGCCAUUUCUAUUUCCUUUUCCAUGAACUGGAAAAGGAAUUAGAGAAUUAUGCUUAAGAGGAUCGAUUCAGAGAAGGGGACGUGGAGGGAGGCCUGAUUGGAGGCAGGUGCCACUUUGGGGGGGAUGGAUCAGGAGAGAGACGGAACUUGGCUCUGAGCUGUGGUGUGAAAGACGGCACUGGAGAUGAUGAGGUCGAAAGAUUGGAAUUUGGUGACAGAUGGGCCACAGGGGCCAGGGAGGAAGGACCGGGGUCAGGCCGGUCCAGCGUGGUGACUUGGGUGAUGAGAGGGGCCAGGGAGGAAAGGGAGGACAGUGGGGCCACCAAGGGAGAUGGAGGAUCCCAGCAGGGGCCCUGCCCACUCUCCACCCCACAUCGUGACUGAUGCAAAACACCAACCUGACGGCCACACGCCCCUGCUCACAUGCUUCAGUGGCCACAAACCCUGGUCAGGGACCCUGCUGGCCUCCAGCCUCAAGCCACCUCUCGGCUCCCUCUUCUCUGGCCUUGAGCACACCCAGCCUCCAGGACGGGCUCCUUACACGGCUCCUCCCUUCACUGGCCGCCUCCUGCGAUUCCUGCAGGUCUCAGCCAUGGUAUCUCCCCUCGGGGAAGCAUUCCGGACCCCAAUCGAUGUCGAGUUCCCUCAGAGAAACUCCGGACCACGGUCCUCUCUGAGCCAUCGUCAUCUGAUUCAUGUCCAUCCCCCACUGGGCUGUAACCACUGUUGCCUCCCCAGAGUGAAUGCCAAUGAAUGUGAAUGAAUGAACAGAUGAAUGAAUGAAGGGCAGGGUACCGUGGGUAGCAUACAGGGGGCAAAUAGGAGACGAGGGUUUAGGAAGUUAAAGAGCCUGCAGUUGAGACUUCCCUGGUGGUGCAGUGAUUAAGAAUCUGCCUGCCAGUGCAGGGGACAAGGGUUCCAGCCCUGGUCUGGGAAGAUGCCAUAUGCUGUGGAGCAACUAAGCCUGGGCGCCACAACUACUGAGCCUGCGCUCUAGAGAGCGAAAGCCACAACUACUGAGCCCACGUGCCACAACUACUGAAGCCCGUGCACCUAGAGCCUGUGCUCUGCAACAAGAGAAACCCCCGCUUGCAGCAACUAGAGAAAGUCCACACGCAGCAACAAAGACCCAAUGCAGGUGGAGCAGGAAUUCUCUCCAUUUGGUGGUACGUGUCUGCAUCCGGAUGCUGAGAAGAGAUCCCCACACAGAGCCAGCACCACUGCAAGUGUCUGCGAACAGGAGCAGGCGUGGGAACAGGCAUGGGAACUGAUGGGCUAGGGCCCAGGUGGACGUUUCAUGACAAGGCAUCCCUUCGGCAGUCCAUGCGCAUGGCAAAAGAUGUCAAACAGGAUGUGAGAAUGGACAAGACAAAUAAUCCUCCGAGCCCUGACCCCUGGUUCUCCAACACCCAUCCCCAGAGGUAAACCACUGUGAUUGGAAAUAAUCUAAGAACCAUCUGCUUCAUCCUUGGGCUUGUGUCUUGAAGGCCCAGGGCACGACCAGGACGAGGGAAGAUGCCACCAAAGGGGAUUCUGAAGCAGGUCCUCCCAGAGCAUUGCCAACAGUCACACGACUUGUAUCCAGGCAACGGGCUCUUGCUCCCAUUCACGCGGAGCACCAGCUUUCUUUCCCGGGAAGCUGCACACCACCGCCUGCCUGCCCGGCACACGCCUCCCUCCCACCAGGAUACAGGUCUUUUCUCCCCUCUGUAAACCGCCCUAUCCCACUGGGGCCUCUGGAUCGUCCUUGACCAAUGGGCACCAGGACAUUACCAUUCCCCACAAGGCUGCUGCAGCAGCAACAUAAGAAUUGCCAGAGCCGUGACACCCAAGGAGCCACACGUGGGCUCAAACGGCAUCGGCACGGGCUGCUCCCCCGGCCUGACAGCUGCGGGUUUCCAGCCUUGGCUUUGGCGUGUGAGGCAGGACGGCCGCCAGCUCAGGGCAGAAACCCGCUCCACGUUCAGCCAGCGACAUCCUCUCCCCAGAUGCCAGGACACACAGGAAAAAGACGGAGCGGAAAGAAGAUUAAACUCAGAAGCCACAGAAUUUACUUUCAUAUCUCCAAAAGUUGUUUCUGUGUCUGACUCAGUAGGAAAUCGCAAAGCCUUGACCUUCCCGAGCGCACCGCGUCCACAGUCAGUUCUCGCUGGGCUCCUAGUGUCCAUGAAGAAACAACAGCUUCUUCCAGAGAAGCUCGAUGCGGAGUAGGGGUCCAGCUGCCCAAGGUCUUCCCGCUGGGCCCCCUGCCCGCAGCCCUGUCCUCCCCAGCUGGCUGCCCCCUCUCCUUCCAUGGGUGGGAUCUUGGCAGAUGUCUACUCCCGGGCUCUCAGUGUCUGGGAGGCCCGCAUGACGGGGGGAUGACAGAGGACCGAGACUCAGAUCCUGACCACCUGGGCAGCAGUACAUGGGCUCCGCCUGCCCUCGGUGCCCGCGGCCCGCCUCCUAAGGGGACAGGACGCAGGCUUGUCAUCCCAGGGUGGAGUUCCCUGGUAGUGGCCUGGGAAAGGUGUCGAGGUCAAAUCUGUCAGAGCUCCCUGAGCCCUAAGCGCUCCCUUCACGGUCAGCUACUCCGUCGGGCAGGCUCACCUCCGCUGCGUCAGGAUGUGCUUGAGUAUUCGGCUGAACCUGUCUGAAGUUCCGGAAGAACUAGGAGAGGAAGAAAAGCAAGAAACGGAAAGUGGAACCUUGUUUAUCAGUGCCUGUUUCUCCUCGGGAAGGAGUUAUUAAACUAGAGAGAAGUGACGCGGCCAAGGCGUGUGACAAGAAGGUACCUCUGGGGAAGUUUAAAGACCUGCCCGCAAAUGCUCGGUCUGCUGAGCAGGACACUGGGUUGAGAAGGGAAAGAGCAGGAACCCCUUGCGAUCAGGGCCCAGGCAGGCUAUCACCAGCUCCGCAUCGUGCCAGAGAACGUGGAGUCUGUGCCGGCGCGAGGCCAGCUGUAGCCGGCGUGACCCUUGCUCCUCCAACCGGAGCCAACAAACACACACCCAUUCUCGCCUAGGACGCAAACUGCUCCACACUCCUUCCCAUGAUGGCGAUGCGAGCAGUGAACCGCUGAGCCUCAGCUCAACACUUCUGGCUGUGUCUGAUCCUCCGCAGGGCUACACACUGUUCUGGAAGGGGGAACACCCUGCGGGGUGAAUUCACAGUCACCCUCUACAAGCAGGGACAUCUUGUUUAGGUCACAAAUGUGGCAAACAAAGAAAAGUAGAUGAACUUCUAUGACUAGAAGUUAAGUGCAAAGACAGAAUGGAUGUGGUGCUUCAGGGUCUCAAACACCACAGAAACAAGUGGUAACAGAAACACAUGCAUCCCACCGCUCCCCUUGGGUGCAGAGAAACUCAGUGGCCAAAGGCUUUGGCAGAAAGUGCUGCUCUAGGGGCUGCCCUCUCAACCCUGCCAAGCAACCCCUUGGCCAAGGACAGGACCAGGAUCCAGAGGAACUGCCUGCGGGACCGAAAAACCCUUCUCACCUACUGAUCUCCUCAGCCCCCAUGUGGAGCAGCAGAUCGGUGGAUGUCAAGCCAAAGAUCGUUCCAUUUAUGGAGAGCGUGCAGGGCUCGGACACAAACUGCACUCGCUAAAAUGAGAAGCGGGGGACAGACGUUUGCACACCAAAGCUAGAAACUUCUUCCCCAUGAAAAUGGGGGGUCUGCAAGGGCUGGGGGGACCAGUGAAAGGGGGACCAACCCAACGGACAGUAAGUCACACGCCUGCCUGUUACAAAGAGAAGCUUAAGACGCAGGCACGUGUGCCUCAAAGGCGCCCCCGCCCUCUGCUUCCGGGACGAGUUGGGUCGCCUUCGGCACGUUGGACUCUGGCUGCCUGGUCGAGGAGGGGACGCUGGUACCUUUUUGUCCUCCCGAGGCAGGUCGGAGCAGCUGAAGGGCGGCUGUGGGUACACGGGCUCGUGGUGCACAUCUCUCAAUGAUGGGACGAAGAUGAGGUGUGAGCCGGAGCUACUUUGCCAAAAAAAGCAUCAGAACAGGAAGGAAAAUGAGUGCAGCUGAGUUAGCAUAGCUGGGUGACAGACUUAAAGGGUCAGAGCUGGACACAAGAGCCUACUUCCAGGGAAGAAGUUCCGAACGGAGCUCUCCUAUGAAGGCGGGGUGCCGUUCCCCGUGGGACACCAGGAACGAGAGACGACCUGUCCUAAUUUACACACAACCACCUGGAUGGGGCUCAUGGCUCUCUCCCAGGACACGCUUUCUCCUGGCUCCGUAUGACGUUCUACUCGAGAGAGGAAGAGGACUACUGUUUCGUAGAAAAAGGGGAGAAGAAACGGAGAUCUAGGAAAGCAGGAAAGACGAGGAUUUGACUGAAAAUCCUCAGAGCCAGAUCUGAAGCCAAAGUUCUGACUCUUCACACUGUGUGAACAGACGUGGCUUUUAGGCGUCACUAGCCUCCCUGGCUGGGGGCCUCUUCCCUCGGGAGGGACCCGGCAGGCUGAGCAGAUCUGGGAGGGGAAGGCACGGCAGGUUCUGGUUCGCCAAGAGCCCGCCCCGCCCACCCCUCCCGCACAGGGAAUCAACGCCCUUGGUUUUUCUUUCUCAGCAGCCUGUCUUACAAAGAUGAAAGAAAUAUCUAACUGCAACAGUAAAAGCAGAGAUGACAGACAUUUCCUUUGAUGGAGGCAGGAGAAUCUCUAGGGUUACAAGAUGUAAGUGAAGAAAAACCCCGUAACUCUAGAAGCCAACCUUUAACCUCUCCAGCCACGCAGAAGAAGAAAGGGGGAAAAAAACCUGUCCUUGGCGGGGUGGGGUCUAUUGUAAAGAGGGAAAGUGUUACUUUGGGGCGAGUUUAACAGCCACCAAUAGCUCUCACUUCUAGCGCCCUCUCUUGCUUAAGACGCAGUGGCUUCCCAGAGGCAGGUACAGGCACCUGUGCAGGUAUAGGGACGUGGCUGCCUCUCACAUGGGAUAAAGGUGUUGGUGAUGGUUGUCACACCUGUCACUUGUUUGUCAGGCCCGCUCAAAGCGUGAAGUGAGGCUUCUGCAGCGGAAAUUCAGAAUCUUGAGACCAAAGGCACUUUGCGAAUUAGCUAUAGUCCCUUUGACAUUGAAAGUUAAGUCCCUGUAUGUAGCCAAGUCUAUGGAUUUGGGUGCUGAAGUCUGGCAGACAGGCCGGGGGGUGACCCGAAGGGGACAGUCUGUGCUUCAGAUCCCCGGGGCUCAGUCCGUAAUGGACAGGAAGGCGGAGGCACGGCUGGCCGCCGCCGUUAAGAGAUGGACUCGCUCUGCUUCUGUGCAGGCUUUGGCAGAGCAACAGUUAAGGAGGAAGCGGGCCUCUGGCUCAGGGUUAUAGGCUGGCUGCAGGGGGAGGGAUCCGAGAGAAAAUUCCAACUAUGCUGAGCAUUGCACAACUUCAUACAUCACGGUGGGGAAGGGCCUUGCAGCCGCUCCCUCCCUCA
Long non-coding RNA from Globicephala melas (long-finned pilot whale), 12735 nucleotides. RefSeq lists it as uncharacterized. Lineage: Eukaryota; Metazoa; Chordata; Mammalia; Artiodactyla; Delphinidae. The record is from RefSeq and is a predicted model, not a curated record.